Molecule: ribosomal RNA, 433 nt
Filed under: uncultured bacterium
Lineage: Bacteria
Description: partial 16S ribosomal RNA
Rfam family: Bacterial small subunit ribosomal RNA
Source: RNAcentral
AACGAACGCUGGCGGCAUGCCUAACACAUGCAAGUCGAACGAGACCUUCGGGUCUAGUGGCGUACGGGUGCGUAACGCGUGGGAACCUGCCCUUAGGUUCGGAAUAACUCCCCGAAAGGGGUGCUAAUACCGGAUAAUGUCUUCGGACCAAAGAUUUAUCGCCUUUGGAUGGGCCUGCGUUGGAUUAGCUAGUUGGUAGGGUAAAAGCCUACCAAGGCGACGAUCCAUAGCUGGUCUGAGAGGAUGAUCAGCCACACUGGGACUGAGACACGGCCCAGACUCCUACGGGAGGCAGCAGUGGGGAAUAUUGGACAAUGGGCGAAAGCCUGAUCCAGCAAUGCCGCGUGAGUGAUGAAGGCCUUAGGGUUGUAAAGCUCUUUUACCCGGGAUGAUAAUGACAGUACCGGGAGAAUAAGCUCCGGCUAACUCCGUG